AACAAGGGCAUACGGCGGAUGCCUAGGCUCAAGGUGGCGAUGAAGGACGUGGCAAGGCUGCGAUAAGCGUCGGGGAGGUGCCAAGCAACCUGCGAUCCGGCGAUGUCCGAAUGGGGAAACCCACCCAAUCGAAAGGUUGGGUAUCCAUAGGGUCACGCCUAUGGAGGCAAACCCGGGGAAGUGAAACAUCUCAGUACCCGGAGGAAAAGAGACCAACAAAGUGGUGUCCCUUUCUGUCCCGCCCUUACGGGGCAGAGAGGAGCACCACUGCGGCAUUUCCUUAGUAGCGGCGAGCGAAAGGGAAGGAGCCCAAACCAAGGAAGGUUUCGGCCAUCCUUGGGGUUGUAGGAUAGCAAUGUCCUUUCGGGGAGGGGAGUGAGAAAGAAACAGGUAAGCAAAAUCACCUGGAAAGGUGAGCCAGAGAGGGUGAUAGCCCCGUACGCGAAUACCUGUUUCCUCCCUUGUUGCUACUCCUGAGUAGGUCGGGACACGACGAGCCUGACUGAAGCAGGGUGAACUCACACCCAAGGCUAAAUACACCUUGAGACCGAUAGUGAACCAGUACCGUGAGGGAAAGGUGAAAAGCACCCCGGGAGGGGGGUGAAAGAGACCUGAAACCGUAUGCCUACAAGUAGUCGGAGCUCGCUCUUUUAGAGCGGGUGACGGCGUGCCUAUUGAAGAAUGAGCCGGCGAGUUUAUGGAUAUCCCUCGUCUAAGGGGUGAACCCCCGGAGGCAAAGCGAAAGCGAGUCCGAAAUGGGCGCUGCCGCCUUUGGCGGCAAGGGGUAUCCAUAAGACCCGAAACCGGGUGAGCUUGCCAUGGGCAGGGUGAGUCCCACCGAAAGGUGGGAGGAGGCCCGAACCGGUGGAUUGUGCAACAUCCUCGGAUGACCUGUGGUAAGGAGUGAAAAGCUAAUCGAACUCGGUAAUAGCUGGUUCUCUCCGAAACAGCUUUUGGGCUGGCCUCGCGUGUUUCCUUCUGGAGGUAGAGCACUGGAAGGAGUGAAUAGGGGGAAACCUCGUCAUUCCUAUCAAACUCCGAAUGCCGGAAGGUCAAGAGCGCGGGAGUUAGGCCAUGGGGGCUAAGCUCCAUUGGCCAAGAGGGGAACAACCCAGACCGCCAGAUAAGGUCCCUAAGUCUAUGCUCAGUGCACGAAAAGGAGGUGGGGGAUCAGAGACAACCAGGAUGUUGGCUUAGAAGCAGCCAUCAUUGAAAGAAAGCGUAACAGCUCACUGGUCGAGAACCCCUGCGCCGAAGAUUCACAGGGGCUAAGCAUAGCACCGAAUCUGCGGAUCACGUACCCAGUGCGGGUGCGUGGUGGUAGGAGAGCGUUCCCAUCGCGCUGAAGGAGAAGGGUGACCGACUCUGGAGCGUUGGGAAGUGAGAAUGCCGGCGCGAGUAACCGCAACCCGGGUGAAACCCCCGGGGGCCGAAAUCCCAAGGUUUCCUUCGCCAUGGUGAUCAGCGAAGGGUUAGGCGGGCCUUAGCCGAUCCCGAAAGGGGGAGGUGAUGGACAGACGGUUAAUAUUCCGUUCCCUGGGUGUGGUGCGAUGGGGUGACGGGGGAAAUGAGUCAAGGCGCCUUAUCGGAUUGGCGUCGCUUGCGCGAGCGUGGGCACUUAGGCAAAUCCGGGUGCCAUACACACGCGUGCGUCGGCGCAACGCGCCUUCGGGCGCGGAGCUUGGCGAAGAGCCCUCCAGGAAAAACCUCUUAGCUUCAACCACAUUCAGCCCGUACCGCAAACCAACACAGGUGGGAUGGUCGAGAAGACCAAGGCCAACAAGUGAUCGCUCCCCAAGGAACUCGGCAAACAAGCGGCCGUAACUUCGGGAUAUGGCCUCCCCGCUUUUGGGGCAACCCAAAGGUGGGGCGCAGCGAAAGAGUGCCUGGCGACUGUUUACCAAAAACACAGCUCCCUGCGAACUCGUAAGAGGAGGUAUAGGGGGUGACGCCUGACCAAUGCCGGAAGGUUAAGUACUGCCUGUCCGUCCGCCUUCGGUGGACGGGCCGCGCGGUAUAAGCCCCGGUGAAUGUCGGUCCUAACUAUAAGGAUCCUAAGGUAGCGCAAUUCCUUGUCGGGUAAAUUCCGACGCGCACGAAUGGCGUAACGACUGGGCAACUGUCUCGGGGAGUCGCUUGGUGAAAACACAGUACCUGUGAAGAUGCAGGUUACCCACAGCAGGACAGAAAGACCCUAUGGAGCUUUACUGCAGCUUCGUAUUGGGGUUGUUGAACUGGUGCGCAGCAUAGGUGGGAGGCUAUGAAGCCGGGUCUCCGGGUCCGGUGGAGCCGCCAGUGAGAUACCACCCAUUAGUUUGGCAACUUCUAACCUUGGUGGCGACACCACUGAGGGACAGUGCGUGGCAGGCAGUUUUAGUGGGGCGCUACCCUCCUAAAAUGUAACGGAGGGGUCUCAAGGUCGGCUAGGCGCGGAUGGAAACCGUGCCGAUAGUGUAAGGGCACAAGCCGGCUUUACUGCGAGGCGUAGAUGCCGAGCAGUCGCGAAAGCGGAGCCUAGUGAGCCGCCGGUUGGCUUGAGAGGCCGCCGACGAUCACCCGAUAAAAGUUACCCUAGGGAUAACAGGCUAGUGCCGCCCAAGCGUCCACAGCGACGGCGGCGUUCGGCACCUCGAUGUCGGCUCGUCUCAUCCUGGGGCUGGAGAAGGUCCCAAGGGUUUGGCUGUUCGCCAAUUAAAGAGGCACGUGAGCUGGGUUCAAACCGUCGUGAGACAGGUUGGUUCUCUAUCCGCUGUGGGCGUCGAAACUUGAGGGGGGCUGCUCCUAGUACGAGAGGACCGGAGUGGACGAACCUCUGGUGUACCGGCUGUCGCGCCAGCGGCACCGCCGGGUAGCUAUGUUCGGAAGGGAUAACCGCUGAAAGCAUCUAAGCGGGAAGCCCGCCCCAAGAUGAGGUUUCAUUUGAGGCCCGUGGGAGAUGACCACGUUGAUAGGCACCAGGUACAAGCGCCGCGAGGCGUUCAGCCGAGGUGUACUAAUGCGCCGAGAGU
This 3008-nucleotide ribosomal RNA is filed under the name Candidatus Parcubacteria bacterium. RNAcentral describes it as "23S ribosomal RNA". It matches the Rfam family "Bacterial large subunit ribosomal RNA". Lineage: Bacteria; Candidatus Parcubacteria. RNAcentral also lists the same sequence under 1 other name. The record is from RNAcentral.